Molecule: long non-coding RNA, 441 nt
Organism: Peromyscus californicus insignis
Lineage: Eukaryota; Metazoa; Chordata; Mammalia; Rodentia; Cricetidae
Exons: 4
Source: RefSeq, a predicted model, not a curated record
CCGGGACCCUGGACGGUGGAGGUGGUGGAGGUGGGCCAAGCAGAGCUCCAGAGAACACCGCUGGACUGCGAUAUACCUUCCCCAGACCCCGCGACCUCCCUAUCCCUUAAUUUUGACAGGUCCUGAGAAGGAAGGUCCAGAGGAUCAGAGACAAGAAGAUAGAACAGAUGCCUGUUGGUGCCCACGCUGCCACUGGGUGGCUCUGAAACUUGGCUUUGCUGGGCUGACCCUUCUGGUCUUGAGCCUGACUGGACUCAGUGUCUCAGACCUUGGGCUGAAGGUCUUGCUGACAGCUCUGUGAAAGAUGCCAUUUUGCUGCUCAUUGAAUAUGAAGAAGUGGUGUAGAAGUAACCAUCUUAUUCAAUAAGAAACACAGAGCCAAUACAGAGAUGAAAGCCAAAAGGUCAGAGCAAUAGCUAAGAGCUAAAACCUUACCCUUCA